UACGUAGGGUGCAGGCGUUAAUCGGAAUUACUGGGCGUAAAGCGUGCGCAGGCGGUUUCUUAAGACAGGUGUGAAAUCCCCGGGCUUAACCUGGGAACUGCGCUUGUAACUGAGAGGCUAGAAUGUGGUAGAGGGUGGCGGAAUUCCCGGUGUAGCAGUGAAAUGCGUAGAUAUCGGGAGGAACAUCCGUGGCGAAGGCGGCCACCUGGACCAACAUUGACGCUGAGGCACGAAAGCGUGGGGAGCAAACAGG
RNAcentral lists this ribosomal RNA (253 nucleotides) under uncultured bacterium. RNAcentral describes it as "partial 16S ribosomal RNA". It matches the Rfam family "Bacterial small subunit ribosomal RNA", at positions 524 to 776 of the family's 1533-position model. The record is from RNAcentral.